GGUUCCGUAGCUCAGUUGGUAGAGCGGAUGACUGUUAAUCAUCAGGUCACAGGUUCAAGCCCUGUCGGUACCGCCA
This 76-nucleotide transfer RNA is filed under the name Erwinia phage pEa_SNUABM_9. RNAcentral describes it as "tRNA-Asn". It matches the Rfam family "tRNA". Rfam says of the family: Transfer RNA (tRNA) molecules are approximately 80 nucleotides in length. The record is from RNAcentral. Lineage: Duplodnaviria; Heunggongvirae; Uroviricota; Caudoviricetes; Chimalliviridae.